GGUGGGAUGAGGUGGCGGUGGUUUCUCAGGCAAUGCCAAACCCUAAACCGCCCUAGAAACAGGGAUUCUAGACUCCGGGGUGUUUGUCCGGCUGUUUCCCCGACAAAAAAGAAACGCCGAUGCCCGGCCCGAGACUCCGCCGCGAUGGAAAAUAAUUUGCACCGCGGGAGGGCUAGAAGGGAGUCUUGUCGGCAUGUGGGGUCACAUGUUUGACGGUUUCUAUUCCUCGCCCUCCCAAUCAUCCCCAUUUU
This 251-nucleotide non-coding RNA is filed under the name Cuscuta australis. Lineage: Eukaryota; Viridiplantae; Streptophyta; Magnoliopsida; Solanales; Convolvulaceae. The record is from RNAcentral.